AGUCUAUGAUGAGGGCAAAGUCUGAGCAUAUUCUUGAAUCUAUCCCAAGCUAUAUAUACAGACUCUGUGUCAUCUUGUUUGAAACUAGCAAUCAAAUUCUGCAUGU
Zingiber officinale is the source of this 106-nucleotide small nucleolar RNA. The record is from RefSeq and is a predicted model, not a curated record. NCBI's taxonomy places the organism in Eukaryota, Viridiplantae, Streptophyta, Magnoliopsida, Zingiberales, Zingiberaceae.